Pseudopipra pipra is the source of this 8591-nucleotide long non-coding RNA. RefSeq lists it as uncharacterized. Lineage: Eukaryota; Metazoa; Chordata; Aves; Passeriformes; Pipridae. The transcript is spliced from 3 exons. The record is from RefSeq and is a predicted model, not a curated record.
UUUUUUUUUCUUGAAGUAGAGGAGUUAAUUGCAGAGAAGACUUGAUCUUAGAAGCUGAACCAGAUGGUGAUCUGGCCAGCAGGGACGUGUGCUCCUUCAAUCCGCCCGCCUUCCCUCAAACUGAAAGCAGUACAUCAACACUGAAAUUGGAAGCUAAACUAACAAUUCAAUAGAGAAACUUCAGCUUUUCUGUGAAGGUGGUUAUUAAUGAUUUAAAAUAAAACAACAUGAUAAGUUUCAAGGUCAAAAAGGAUCCACUGUUUUUCAAUCUUCUUCAACCUCUCAACUUUUAAAAUUUAGGUUGAUGGUGGAGGUAGAAACCUAUAGAAUUUAGACCAACUAGCAGCAUACUUUAAUUAUUUGUGGCUAUUUUGUAUUCCUUAGAAAUAGUCUGUAGACUGCCAGCACUGGAUAUAAAUGCCUUAGAAAUGAGAGUUCUGGUUCUUGGGGUCCAUUUUUAUUUCUUCAGGAGUCAGCCCUUACUUUUUGUCAGUUAUAAGACCCUAUCUUUAAGUUUUUUAAGCUUAAAAAUUUGUACAGUUGGGAUAUUAGCUAUAUCCUUCUAGGAGAUGUUAUUAAGCAUCAUUAUCAGCGAAAUACUAAUCUUUUUACAUCUUUCAGAGUAAAAGACUAAGUAUAUUACAAACUAAGCAAACAUGAUUUAAAUAAUAAAACAACUUGAGGUUUGAAAAACUUUAAUGGUUGGACAAACUGUAUCUGACCCAUAUAGUUCUAACACUUGCAAUUCUUGAAGAUGAAGUGGCUGCUAUAAGGAUUCUUUUAGUGUCACUUUAGAUAUUUGUCAGCAAAACAGCAUAGGAUAGUUCCCAAACUAUAAUUUAUUUCCUUUUUGAAGCAACAAAUGCUUUCAGAAAGUUGCCGUGACUGUGGGAAACAUAUUAAUAACACUUCUAAGCAAUAUUUCAGUUUUUGUGGAACUUUACAUCAAGUUCUGACCAGCUGUACUGUUAUGUCUGCUAAAAGCUGGACUAUAAUAAGUUCUGGGGAAAGGGCAUGCCUUCAGUACAUGCUUAUGCCUGUGGUAUAAGGUUCUGCUUUCUGCUCCCAGCCUCCCUGACUCUCAGACCUGCUGCACGUAACACCUCUGCGGUUCUGCUGACGUCUUUGCCUGAACUUUGUGGUGUGGUUUUUAUACACUUUGUUAUAGCUGAACACAAUAGAGGUUUGUCUUGGUUUAGAAUUCAGUGCACAAUUAACUGUUCUCUCCAACAAGAUAAACAAUACUGGUUAACUAUUCCUUUGUGUGUAAAGAUAAAUCUCUAGACGCAAUUCCUGACUCUUUGUGCUGUGUGAUACGUCAGCCUGAAUACGCAAAGAAAACAGAGCAAGAAAUCAUGCCCACUUUCCCACUUGCAUUUUUUUUUUUUUUAAUGAAAAAUGUGGGAAGUGAAUUAGAGGCUACAUUUUCAAACUUGAUCUUUUUAGGGUAUUAUUUCACCAGGCAGAUUCUACGCAAUUAGGAAAUGAAUGGACAAGUGUAUUGGCAACAACCCGAUUUGCCACACUGGUUUUAGUAAGAAUUUCUGUGCUAAUUAUUCUGACUUAAUCUGCAAGUUCACAUUUUCUACCCAGAAAUCUAUUGAUCCUUAGAGUUUGUUGCUUUUGUCUCAUCAUAGAGAAUCUAUGAAGAUGGAAGGUGCACAUCUUCCAACAGAGUCUCUAUUUGGAAUAUGAAUUACCAAGUGCAAACAAAUAUGAUGUUUGGAAAAUUGCAAGAUCCAUUCCAAACAUUUUACAUACUGUUGGGCCCUACUGACCUUUUUUUUCUAUCCUUGACAAAGCAACAGUUUGGGUUUAGUGCUCAUUAUUUCCUUUGUGAACUGCUGAGCAGUUUUGUAUCUCCUUGUGUAAAUCAAACCAACGUAACACUAAUGAAAUUCUUGAAUACUCUUCCCUCCUCCUGUUGUGACUCUUUUUUUCCCUGUGUCCUGGAUUUUUAUAGCAUAGAAUUACAGUAUGUGAAAUGUGAAGCAGAUAUGCAACAUACAGCAAGUUUUGGUAUCCCUCAAAACAGAGGCUGUUCAAUUACUGAUACAGAGCUUGCACUAAAAGUUAAUCUAAAAGUUUCAAAAACUUGCCACGCACUGCUUCUUUUCAUAUAUCUUUCUCUUUUUCACACCAUCCAUAUUAAUACCUAGGAAUCUCCAAUGGAAAAAAAGGCAUUAUUUAUCUUCUCUUCCAUUUUUUCUGCAACAGGAUCAGAUGUGAUUUUUCUCUAAGUAAUACAUCUUGCUUCAAAAAUACACAUAUCUCUUUUUAUGUUGCCAUUGAUUUCAAAGGAGAUAAGGCCUUUAAUGGAAUCCACCACUGACCUGAGACUUCUGAAAUAUAACACACGCCCUCAAGUUGACCAAGGGUCAAAUACACUCCUGUGCAGUGGGUUAGCACAAACCUUAUCACUGUAAGUGCCUCAUAAAUCUUGAAAAUAGGAAUUUUCUCUUUAGGGGCAUAAAUUUUGCCUAACUCUAGGUACACCUUGUAGUGAAUGUAGAUGUUUGGAAAGGUCUUUGAUUACAGUUAAGAAAUUGAGAACACCACAGGUACGAAUAUUGCAAUCCAGUCUUUAUUAUCCAGUGUUCAUAACACUGAUUUAUUAAUGAAGCUCAAAAGAAAGAGAUGUGACUUAAUAUGUUAGAUAGUAGCUGUUCCUAGUGUAGAUUUACCAUUGUUUUGUGCGUAACCAGGGUGAGUCACUUCACUUUUGUAGGUAUGAAAAAUAUAAAAUAGUGUGCACGAGAAUAUUUCCUUUGUGCCUAGUGUGGCAACAGAAUAAAGUAAUAUUAGUUACUAAUCAAUUACUAUUAGUUAAUGCAUCUGCAGCUUUAUAAGGUGUAAGUAAUAUACAAAAGCAGCUCUAUGGAAUUUUUCCCUAAAGGCAUAGAAAGCCAUAUCUACUUUGGAUGAGUUCUAUUUUCUCCAUGUCAGCUGCUUUAAUCUUAAAGCUCUGGAAUUCAAGCUGUGUUUAUGGAUUACCACUGAUCACAAUCUGUAAGACUUUUAUAUCCUUGACUAUGCAAACUUAAUUCUGGUCCUAUGUUUCUAGAGAAACUGCUUGUGGAAGCAAGAUUUAAAAUUUGUUUUCCAUUAGUAUUUAAGCUCGAGAUUAAAAUUCACACUAAUGAAAUGAAGAUGUACAAUUUUACUUAGAAGCUGGAUGUGGGAGGAUCACUAAGCUGGCUAGAAUUAAAAAAAAAAAACAACCAACAACGAAACCAAAAACCCAAAACAAACAAAAAACAUAAACAACCCCCCAAAAAAACUAGCACUAACUGGCAAAUAUUUCAGAAAAUAGUCAGACAUUGCUUAUGUGGGUCUAGCAGACAAUUUAGAAACAGAAAGUAUUGUCAUGGGUUUUAUUACUCUCCCCUAUCAUCUGGGGGUUCUGUUGGUGAUUGUUUGUGUGAGGCUGGAUUUUACAUUCAAAGUGAUCUCUGAUUGUAGAGCCACAGACUCAGUAAAGUUAGAAAAGUUAAAGUUAGAAAAGGCCUCUUUGCAUGACCCCAAAUAGGGUCACCUGGAGCAGAUUUCCCAGGACAAUGCCCACUCAGAUUUUCAAUAUCUCCAAGGAUGGAGACUCCACAGCCUCUCUGGCCGACUUUACAGUGUUUGAUCACCCUCUCAGUAAAUAAGUGUUGUUUUGUAUUAAGAUGGAAUUUCAUGUGUUUGGGUUUGUGCCCAUUGCCUCUUGUCCUGUCACUGGGCCCUACAGAGAAGCAUUCUGGCUUAAUCUUCAUCCCAUGGGCUGAUGCCUGGCGUUAUUCCUCCCCAGACUUGGCACUUCCCUAUGUUCAAUUUAAUGAGAUUUCUGUAGGCCUCUUUCUCCAACCUAUCCAUGUCCCUCCAAACACCAAUAUAACCAUCUUGAUCACAAUUUACUCCUCUACUUUACAUAUAAUUUGAAAACUCACUGCAGAUGUACUCUGUCCAAUUUUCCAGGACAUUAAAGAAGAGGUUAAAUGGCAAGGACAUGGUAUCAACCCCGAGACACACCACCAGUGACUGGCUUCCAUCUGGAUUUUCUGUGACUGAUUAUGCUUCUCUGGGCUCAGUCAUUUAGCCAGUUUUCAAUCCACCUCCCUGCACUUAUCUAACCUGUACUUAAACUAUUUAUCUAUGGAUAUGUUAUGUGAGAGAGUGUCAAAAGCCUUGCUAAAGUCAAGUAAACAUCAUCCAUGGCUCUCCUGUCACUCACCAAGAUAGUCAAGCUAUCAGGCUGGUCAGGCAUGAUUUACUCUUACCUGCUUCUGACUGCUCCUGAUAACCUUAAUAUUCUUCAUGUGUCCAAAAAAGGUUUCCAGGAUUAUUUGCUUCACCAGCUUCAGAGGGAUGGAGGUGAGGCUGACCAGCCUGUAGUUCCUUGGAUCCACCUUCUUGCUCUUUUUGAAGAUAGAGAUGAUAUUUGAUUUCUUCCAUUCCUCAGAAACCUCUUCAAAUUGCCAUAAGUUUCAAAGAUAAGCAACAACAUCAGCCAGCUUCCUCAGCUCUCAUGGCUUCAUCCCAUCAGCUCCCAUGGACUUGUGUGUGCCCAGUUUGUUUAAGUGUUUCCUAGCCUUGCCCUCCUCAAUUGAGGGUAAGUAUUUCUUGCUCCAAAAAUAAGUCCAUUAAAAUUAAGAUAGAGCAGCAUACUGCCAUCAGUAUUAAGUCCUUUGAUUUUAAUCUAAUGGAGCAUUCUGAUUUUGGUUUUUUUCCCAUCAGAACAAACCUGGAAGAUGCUGAGCAUCCAAAAUUCCACAGGCAUUUUCUUGGCAUCUGAGUUCUCAAUAGCAUUAUGUAGGAUCAGCCUCUCCAGAAUUGUUCAUAAAUUUCCUGUAUAAACUUGAGGAAUAAAUCUUGGAGAUAUGACAUUCAUUUUGUUUGUUAUUUUAGGCCACUUUAUACUUGAUCUGAUCUUCAAGGUCAGUGUUCUUGUCUCUUUUUUUUUUAAGAUAAACAAAUUUGUAUCCUUUUUUGACCAGGACAUCACAUCUCAAAAGUAUGUGCGACAGAGCUGCAGUUUACAUUUCAUCUGCUUCAACAGUUGGUUCUGACAACUGCCAGGAAAGGAGCAUGGCGUUGUUCACUGCCUGGAUUUAUGGCUGUGCCUUCAUCCUUUCUGUAAGUCCAUGUUGCAGCAAUGUCCUGGGAAAGUUUUUAUCUGACGUGGGAUCCUUCCCAUUGACAUGAGGAAAGGGUUGUGUUUGAGAGAAAUGUCCAUCUAAAGGGGACCAUCAAGGCACCACGUCAGGGGCUUGGAGACCUGUGCUCAAUUUUCACCUUUGACAAGUUUUUCUUGACUCAGUGUGAGCGAUUUGCUUUUCCUUGGAUUGCAUCUGCACUUAGAAAAUGAGCCCACUCCUGAACAAAGGUGUUGAAAGACUACAUUAAUCUUUGUGGGGUGCUCAGACACGUCACACUAAGUACCUGGAUAGAUGGCUGACAGCCAAGAUGAGGCAAAUUACUAAUUGCUUUCUUUCAGCUCAGGUUUUUGGGUUGCUUUGUAAUCCGUUGUGUGGGAAGACACCAAGAUACAUGUGUUAACUAUUAAAUAUGAGGCUGUAAAAUGUAGAUUUGUCUGUGACAGAGCCAUGACAGAAUGACAAAGAGAAGCUUCCCUUUUCUGCUCUACUAUUUUUCUUCACACAGCAGGAUGAAGGUUGGUUACAUGAAGAUUUGAACAACAUUGUGCAGAAGAAAAUGAGAAGAAAAAUCUGAAGAAUUCUGUCAAGAGUACCUUUCUGAGAUGUGAUCCGUCUCCCAAAUAAAAUUUGUAAUGGGAUAUAGUAACACAUGAAUUUCCUUGUAAUUCAUGUGUUACUAUACAUGAAAAUUAAGCAGGCAAUUAAAAGCUGAGCCAGCUUUUAAUUGCCUGCUUACAAAGAUUUGAAUUGGACUGGAACUGAUACUAAUAUCUCUUUCCUUUCAAGGAUAUCUAUUGUGUACAUUUUCUUGAGUGACUGCCCACUGUGCUUUUGUAUUUUUGUCAUAUGCUAUCAUCUGAUUUGUUUAAUUAAGUACUUUGUAGGUGUUCCUGUUCCCCAGGAAAAAAAUCCCCAGACUCAGAACAAUACAUAAUCAUGCUUCUGAAAAGUAAUUGUAUUUUUUAAAAGGUAAAUGGUAAGAAAACGAAAGAAACCAAGAAUACCUGUAGUGCCAAUUCCAUAGAUGACUUCUCACAGAACUAUUGCUACAACAUAGGAAAACUGAAACACCAUUUUUGUGCUAAAUAUUAACAGCAGUAACACUGUUACUCUGAAAUGUUGACCAUGUGAAUCCAGAGGUAAAUGAGAUAUAUAUAUAUAUAUAUAUAUGUUUGGGCUUUUGACCUUUUCAGUAUUUGUUUGCCAUUUCAUUCUCUCACCUAUAACCUGGAGAUUUAUGGCAGAGUAAACUUGUUAAUCCUAACAACCAUAUUUUCAUUUGGAAGCUGGACUGACCGUCAGCAAACAUCAAAGGAACUCCUUGGUUUUCAAGGGACACCUGUUAAAAGGGAAGGUUCAUGCGUCACCCAGCACUGCUGGAGUAAAACAUGUUUACUGUGCUACUGAUGGUUGUUAUCACUUGGAAACCUUGCAGGUCUCCUCAGACACUGGGUAGAUGAAGAAUUAAACCCUCUUCAGGUGUGGGGGGAGCAUGUAUCUUCUUGGCUUGGGUUUCAGCAAGUUCUUCAUAUUUUGUAUUAGUCAAAAGUAUCUUUUAGACCUAGGUCUGCUGCUCCUCCAAAGACAAAGAGUCUUUGCAAAGCUGACUGGAGCUGGCUGAUGUGGGUGAGUGUGCCUCACACCAUGGACCCGGGCCAAAGAUCAUUAAAGCCAACUGUGAUCUUUCCACUGACUUCUGUGCAUUUUGCCUCAGAUCCUCGGGGCAAAAUAGUGCCUCUGUGAGUCACACAAAUGCAUUUUGCCCCACAAUUAAUUAAAAUUAUUUGAAUUCAUGAGACUUCUCAUGAGAUCAAAAUGGUAAUCAGUAUGAGAGUGAGCAAUGUUGUCAUUAUCACUAUGUAGUCCAUGUUUUACAUUUUUCCUUUGACUUCUGUGUUAUUUUAUGAUCAGGAAGUAUCAGUUUUAUUUUGGGAGUAUCCUGCCUGAUUGUGUCUGUGCAGUGUGCAUUCGUUUAAUGUUUAUGCAUCAGUUUGUGAGGUUUAGUUGAAGAUGAAAAGGUAUAUCUUUUUAAAAUUUCAGCAGUGUUAGUGCAGAAGGAAAUCAUACAAUAUUGCAAAAAUGUAUAAGAUUUAAGGCACUAGAAUUAGAAACAUGAUAUUGAAGUAAGUGGUCUGACCUUUAAAAAAUUCAGUCCUUUGUAUACUUGGAUAAUAAUUUAAAUUUUUGUGUCUGAAUGCACCUUUUAAAAAUGCUCUUUUUUUCAUGAAGAUUAAGUAUCAUGUCAAGAAACAGCUUGGGACUUGACAGGCCAUGCAUUUUAUGUUCCAUUUACGUGCAGGAUUUCUAGGUGCCAGACCCUACACUUACAGAAAUGAAAGUUGAUUCUCUUUGGUGCCAGCAGUGUAAGUAUUCAUCUACAUGUAAAACUAUUUCAUUUUGGUUUUUUUUUUUGUCUAACUAUGCUCUUUAAAACAAACAGCUUAAUGCAGCAUCACCUGUGAAAAAAUUCAGUGGGGAAUGCCACCUACACUCCAAAUGUUAUCCCAAGAGAAGUGUGCCUUAUGCUUUUACAAACUGCUUCAGGGUGGCUUCCCAGACAGACCAGAUUAUCCUGCUGCUCAAGUGCUCCAAACCAUCCUCCUGUCUUCUGUGACUCUUUUGACCUUUGCCAUCCAGGUGACCCCAGCAUGCAACAGCAUUCCCAAGCUUGCUUGGAUCCAGGUGCUACACAAAGGACUGGUAUGACUUCACUCCAGAGUAGGUGGCACGUGUCUCUGGGAGUACUUGAGCAGCUCCACACUCUUCCCACGCUCAUGUUUUCUGCCAUCCACGCUGCACUGACACUUUCUGGCAGCUGCAUAGACCUGCCUGCCAAAGCAGGCCAUCCUGUGUGAGGGCAGCAUCCAAUAAUAAUAUUCUGUGAGAUCCGCUUCUGGUUAUAAACAAUUUGCCACAAAACCAAAAAGUACCUACUGUUCUCAGAAUUUUUUUUUUCCCCUCCUGCAAAUUCAUGCUUCGUUAAUCUUCCUAGUUUUCUAUCAGUUUGUUUUUCAGGAGUUUGUUUAAUUUAUGGGUUUAUUAAUUUUCCAAGAACUUUUGCUAGUAGCAUGAUUUGCUUGUGUUUUUCCAGCAGGAAAUGAAAUCAAGACUGGUGAAUGAUGCCAAUUGUCAAAACUUUAUUAACAGCAGAGAAAUGUUUCUUGGAGAAAAGUUGAGUUUUACCACCUGUGUUCUCAGUCCUGAAGAUAGUUUUCUGUGAGGACUUGGGCAAAUCUCCUCACAGCACUCCACCUCUGCGCAAAAUGGGGAUAAUGCCUUAUCCAGUCUAGAAAAAACACAGUCGAAAGUACAAAUGGAAAGCCUGAUGAUAGAAAUGAAAACUGUUCUAGCUGACACAGAUCUUGGAGCCUUGAGGUUUUUAUAAUUAGCUUUUGAUGUCCUGUUCAUGAUUCUCCGGAGUUUUAAAAAAAUAAAUUAAAAGAGUAAACCAAA